Molecule: long non-coding RNA, 2817 nt
Organism: Mustela lutreola (European mink)
Lineage: Eukaryota; Metazoa; Chordata; Mammalia; Carnivora; Mustelidae
Exons: 3
Source: RefSeq, a predicted model, not a curated record
CUUUCUGUCUCCACAACAAUUACCGAGAUUUAUUUUUUAUUGCUCUGCUUAACUCUGCCAGGACCACACUUCCUUUUUCUUCUUAAAGGAACAGCCGGAGGAGCAGAGGGGCCGAGGAAGCGAGCACUUUUGGUCACAAACAUGAAAAGACACAAGGCUGCUCAUCUCCUCCGGCGUCUGCUCUCCUCGGCCGACGCACGGGCUCACCGGGAGACGCGGCCGCAGCGCCCAGGCGGGGCAGCCUUGUUAAACUUGUCCUUCCCCAGGGGUUCUGCAGGGCGCUGCUGGGGGCCUGGAAGCUCUGUGCUCUCAGCAGCAGGCGCCCGGAUUGCUGGUGUAGUGAUGGGCAUGGAGUCAGGGUGCCUCUUUCUCAGAGUUGAUGUGGUUUUCCUAGAUGACUGUUCAGAAUGGAAGGGCCCUUUUGGGGAAUCUAGGUGGUCCAGGAUGGGCUUGCCCGUGUCCUUCCUGGGAAGCCCUUUCCUAUGGAGGCCAAGGGCCCUGGGGUCACUACCCGGAGAUGCAGGGUCUUUAACCAGCGAGGCGACAGCCGUGUCAUGACCAGGAUGUCGUUCCUGGUCCUCCAGGUCCAGGCCGUGUGGCCCCAGAGGGUUCCUCAUCAUCUCUGGGGCCCAGUCACAUUCUUGGAAAGCAUCAGCCUCCCUGGGCUGUCGUGAGGGUCCCCCGAGACCAGGGACAGGGAGGGGCGUGCGCGCCUGGCAGCCCUCCCCACGGCCGGCUGGAAAACGGCCCCAACUUCAGAUGAGAGAUGCCCCUGGAUUCCCCGGGUGGGGCCACUGUAGUCACAGGGUCCUUACCAGCAGACAUAGGGCCUCAGAGAGAAGUGACGCGGGGCCACUGGCCGCCCCCACAGGCUGCUGGACACAGGGCCAAGGAACACAUACUCCCCGGGACUCUAGAAGGAAGCGCUCUGCCGACACCUUGACUUGAGCCGUCGGACUUCCUGCCCCAGACGGAGAGAGUAAGUGCGCGUUGUUCGAAGGCUCGAGGUCGUGGCCGCUUGGUGGAGCAGCCACAGGAGGUGGGUACAGUGUCCGGAGCCGCCAUCCCCACCAGCAGGGGAAGCGAGCAGAGAAUGCCACGCCGCGCCCCUCCCCGCACUGUCCCCCCAAGGUCCCUGUUGGCCUCCAGCGCCCUGAGGCCGUCAUUCGCUCAUUCCUUCUCCGCGCUGACCCCUCAGGCUCCCCCGCCUCAGGUCUGCGCCCAACCCAGCAGCUGAAGUCGCCCUUGAAAAGCAGGUCGGGUCACAGCCCCUAUGCCUGAACCCGCGCCGUCCUCUGACCCCGCUCCGGCCCCAGAACCCGGCACCCCUGUCACUUGCCGCUCACCUCCCCCGCCAGUUUCUGGUACUUAGUAAGUGCUCAGAAAACUCUCUAGCGCCCAAGGACAGGGAGUGUCGUCUAUGCAGUUCGAGGCCGCAGUCCCAGCCCUCACAGCAGCACCCGGCUUACCGGAGGGUCCGCAGAUACCCGGCCGGCGGGCGACCCGUGGCCCUCGGCUCUGCCUCCCAGGGGCCUGCAAGGGGCCUCGGGACCUGCAGCCUCUUGUGCAAGAAGAUAACCCCAUCGUGUCCUGGCGGAGUCAGCGUUGGAAAUCUUCACAGAAGUGGAAGGAAUUAGGGGAAAUCAUCCGUCAGCCCCGGACACGCAGGCUGUGGACACGCCGUCGCACUUCCUCCUGCUCCUGCUUUCUGUGUGCAUCUGUACAUGGUGACAAACAAAUUUCAGUGCAACUGGGCUGCUGCUUCAAUGAGACAGAAAUCCAUCUUGAAAGCAUCCUACAGUUUCCACACGCGUGGAGGCCCCCAGGCACGUCCACCCGCCAGCGAGGGGCGGGGAGCAGCCGCGGGGCCUGGUCUGGGGCGGCAGGGGCUCUGGCCUAGCUGGUGCCGGGAGCCCGCGACCCGGAUGCCCACACGGGGGACACGGCUGGGACGGGCGUGCACCUGCCGAGAAGCCCGUCUCUCGGCCUGGCCCUGUCCCCUGGGGCAUGGUGGGAAAGCAGGGGCCUGCACCCGACCCCCAGCCCCAGGAGUGGCUCCAGGCCGGCGGGCAUUGGGACGAGGCCGUGGGUGUUUUGGGGAGAAAUGAUGCACCCCGACGGCUGGAGGCGCGGGGCCGAUUCAGGCCUUGUGGUAGCCGCUGAUGUCAUUUCAGAGAAGGAGCUAAGAAAGCUGUUUUGUUUUUCAGACUGUGUCUCUGAAAUUGUCUUCUUCUUUUUUUUAAAUCUGAUUUUAUCCCAGAGUGGAUGUUCCAAACCCCAAACCUCUAAUCCAGGCUUGCUUGAAGGCCCCUGCCCUGGCCGGCGCUGGCGCCGGGUGCAGGGUGCCGGCGGGGAGGCCAGAGGUCACCCGGUUCAGCCCGCCACAGAGCUGGGGCCGGCAGGGGGAGCCCCCCAGGGAGACCCUCCCCUGCUGCCGGGCUGUUGGGGGGCCUGGGGUGGGGACGGCUGGGGAGGCCAGAGAGAAGGGCCAGCCAGGAGGCAUUUGUGGAGGGGCACGCGUCUUCCAGAAGGCAGCUGUCGGUAUCCAAGAAUGCCACAGAGCGCCUUCCAGAAUUCUCUCUUCCGGGUGUGUGGGGGAGGCUCACCGUUGGCUGACAUGCUGGGAACGUUGGGACGGCUACGUCUGGGCUGGCACUCCCUGCCCCGCACGAGCGGGGGAGCGGGAGGGGAGAGGCGCAGGGAAGCCCCGCCUGCAGGCCAUGGGGGCGGGAGGGGUAACCGGAGGCCUCCUUCCGGCCAGAGAGCCCCCAGGGACCCUCUUCCUGUCCUCCCGUCGGCCCUGCGGAAAGGGACUGA